UUUUUUUUUAUUUUUUCUAAGAUGCAGCACAAGAGGGAAUUCCCCCCCCCUUUUUUUGUGGAAGAACCAGGCUUAAAAUUGACUUUUUCCCCCUAUUUUGGUGGAAAGAUCUAUUUAAAAUUUUAUUUCCCCCCAUUUUAUGUGGAAUUCACUGAAUUCCAAGUGUCCCGAGGCUGUCAUUGGGACUUAAGGAUGUGAAAGGCCUUUUCCAAUGUAAACAAUUCCAUGCUUUAGGCAGCUGAAAAAAAGAGAAGAAUUUAAAACACAAAGGAGAAAAGAGCUGAGGGAAUUAAUAAAAAUUUCUAUAAUCUGUGGGGGUUUUGAGUCUUGAGGCAGAACUUGAUUCCCUGAAGCUGUCGGAUUUGUUUUUCCUUAGGAAUGACGUGGAAAACACAACGGGAACAGGCACGAGAAGAGUCCCCAGAAGUUAUUUAUGAGCAGCCUGGAAAGCAAAAUAUUUUCAGAUUAAAAAGGAAAACGGCAUCCACUGCUCUCCCUGAGGUGUGUCCUUGCAGCAGGGAUUUGUCAGGAGCCUGCACUGAGCCGUCUCUGCGCGGCUCAUGGAGAACCAGGAUGGUUUUCCCCUACAUCCACGGGGAAUUUUGGCACAAAAGAAUUUCUUCCUGAUAAAGUAUCUCAGGAGCCAAGAAGUGACAGAAGAUUUCCAGGACCCAUCUCAGGCCGUGUCAUUUGAGAGGAGUUGGACCCGAUGCCAAACUCUGUGGUUACAACUGGAGGAGAUCCCAGCAUGAGCAGCUCAGCUUUUUGCUACAAAAGUGCAAAGCAAGGAAGUUUUCCUUUGAAAAUUCUCCAUGGGAACCUCUUUGUUAUGGAGAUACCUUUCAAGAGGAAAAGAGUCCUCAGCUCUCCAUCCUCCCCUGGAGCUGCGAGGGAACAGCCAGGGCAGCUCCUCAAAUGAGAACUGGGACAAAAGGAUCCCUUCCCAAGCCUUUCUUCCACAUCCAGAAAUUCCCUGUGAAAUCCCUGUGAAAUCCAGAAAUAAUGGGGAAGGAGAAACCCCUGCAAUCCAGAAAUGCUGGCUGAAAGGAAGGGAAAGGACAGGAAGAAGCGUGAUACACCCUCAUUCCAAAUGGGGUGAAAAAUAUUAAUUAU
Molecule: long non-coding RNA, 1113 nt
Organism: Cyanistes caeruleus (blue tit)
Lineage: Eukaryota; Metazoa; Chordata; Aves; Passeriformes; Paridae
Source: RefSeq, a predicted model, not a curated record